RNAcentral lists this ribosomal RNA (407 nucleotides) under uncultured bacterium. RNAcentral's name for it is "partial 16S ribosomal RNA". It matches the Rfam family "Bacterial small subunit ribosomal RNA", at positions 29 to 526 of the family's 1533-position model. The record is from RNAcentral.
AUUGAACGCUGGCGGCAGGCCUAACACAUGCAAGUCGAGCGGAGCGGCGGACGGGGGAGGAAGGCCUAGGAAUGUGCCUGUGGGAGGGGGAGAACGACAGGAAACGGAAGCUAAUACCGAAAACCAUCGGAUGUGGCUAGGCCGGAUUAGCUAGUUGGUGGGGUAAAGGCCUACCAAGGCGACGAUCCGUAACUGGUCUGAGAGGAUGAGCAGUCACACUGGAACUGAGACACGGUCCAGACUCCUACGGGAGGCAGCAGUGGGGAAUAUUGGACAAUGGGCGAAAGCCUGAUCCAGCCAUGCCGCGUGUGUGAAGAAGGUCUUCGGAUUGUAAAGCACUUUAAGUUGGGAGGCGUUACCAGCAGAAUAAGCACCGGCUAACUUCGUGCCAGCAGCCGCGGUAAUUC